Long non-coding RNA from Homo sapiens (human), 2139 nucleotides. RefSeq lists it as uncharacterized. The record is from RefSeq and is a predicted model, not a curated record. The transcript is spliced from 2 exons. Lineage: Eukaryota; Metazoa; Chordata; Mammalia; Primates; Hominidae.
GGGCUUUCCUUCCAGCCCUUCUGUGGUUCUCAAUGGCCCAUGGGUGUUCAGGCCUUAACGCUGGGGAGUGCCGCCAGCAGUGGAGGUGUUCGCGAAGGUUCUACUGGCUUGAGGGAAGGGCUGUGGUAAUGGGAACCCGAGACCUGGAGGCCAGCAGAUAAGAGCUCUCCGCUGGGGAGCAGAGUCAGAAGGGGCUGAGCACAGAAGGCUUGACUCUCAGCCAGAGCUCAACAAGGGGCAGCUGCUGCGGUAGUCCGUGGGCAGGCCUAGGUUAAGUGCGUUCUUUUCACUCAAAAGCCCUUCUCUGGAAAGGAGGCUCAGAAGGCACACUUGGGGCAGAGGGGAACCCCCGCCUUCCCCUUUUACAGAACUUCCUCAUCCUGCAGAUCAGUCCAGCCAGGAAGUCAGGCUGGGUAGAGAGCUGGGUGCCUGGGAGUACCAUGGGUUUUGCCCCCAUUGCUGGCAGCAGUCAUCAGUCACAGCAGAGAAAACAUGAAGGUGACAGCCAGUGGUUUCAGAAAGGCAAGAAGCUCUUCCUCUGCAUUCACCUUUCUUUUCCCUUUUCACUGAAAGCGAAGAUCAACAUACGGGUAAGCCCCUCUCGUACAUUCGAGGAAGAACACAAGUCAGGACUCAGAGCUACUGAAUUUCCACUCCCACUCCCACGCCAGACACACGCUGCGAAAUACUGUCUGGUUUUUUAUGAUAAGGUAGCUGUAGUUAGCCUGAAAAUGCUUCCUCAGGAAUGGCCUUCAUCAGAGAUCUCUUCAUACUCAGUAUGAGGACAUGAGGAAGAAUAUGCUACGUGUGAAAAUACACCUUGGCGUUCAACUCUGUGGGUUAAGAAGGGGUUCCUGUGAUGGCAAGCUUUUAGGUUAUUGAGCAGCAGAUUGGAUACUUCUGUUUUUCAACAACAUAGGUUUCCAUGUAAUAUGAAAAACAGCUGUUGCAAAUUUCUAGAAGUGCUGAAUCCAGUCUAAUAAAUGCCUAGCUGCACCUGCAAGAAAGUAAGGGAAUGCUGAAGGGUCAAAAAUGGAGGAAGAACUAUGACCAGUCUGGGUUGCCCCUGGGGCUGCUGGAGGUAAGGUUGGGGAGGACAGUUGGCCAGGCUGGGAAUCCAAUAUGGGAAUAUUAAUUCACUUUAGAAUUUAUUAAAUCAAGGAGCUUAGGCUUUCAUGACCAGCAGGCACACAAGAAGGGGCUUGGGCCCCAGAAGAGUAGGGAGUUGGAACUGAGACCCUGGUGUAAGGAUGAACUGAAAACCAUUGCCUGCUUACACAGGGAGAUGACAGGGAAGCUUGCUUGAGAAAAAGAAAAAAGCUCCCCUUAAAAUUAAUUUAUAAUAAUUAAUGUGCCCUCUCGUGGAUAUGAUAUUUAAAUUUAUAUUACUAGAGUGGUCUAAGACAUGUCCCACCAAGAAAUUAAUAUAAAAUGCUGUCACACACCAAUAAUAUCCUUGGGAACCUGGCUGAAAUAAAAAUAAAACCUUUCUGGGAGGCCGUACAUCCAUCCUAGGCCUCCUAGCAUACCCUCAUAUGAAGUCCCAACUAAAGAUUAACUUAUAAUUAAAAACUACCAUACAGUCCCGGCAUGGUGGCUCAUACCUGUAAUCCCAGCACUUUGGGAGGCUGAGGUGGGUGAAUCACCAGAGGUCAGGAGUUCGAGACCAGCCUUGCCAACAUGGUGAAAUCCCAUCUCUAUUAAAAAUACAAAACUUAGCCGGGCGUGGUGGUGCCCAGCUACUUGGGAGGCUGAGACAGGAGAAUUGCUUGAAUCUGGGAGGCAGAGGUUGCAGUGAGCUGAGAUCGUGCUGCCACACUCCAGUCUGGGAGGCAAAACCAAAAAAAAAAAAAAACCCCUAAAACCAAUAGUUAGUGAACAAAACAAAAAACAAUAUGAAACAGCCAACAACUUCAGAUAAAAUAUAAUUAUCAGGUAGAUUAAAAAUAAGCAUGUUUAAAAUGAGAAGUCAUAAAAGAAGUAUAAUAAUAAUAACAUAACAGAAUAAGACAUCAAAAAGAUUAGACUGAGCUACAUAGGAAAUCAAAUAUAACUCAGAAAUUUAAAAAUUAUCAUUUAAAGCUUACUAUGUUAAACCAAAGAUUAUAUAUUACCAAAUAAAUAACUAAUGAAUGGAAA